Molecule: ribosomal RNA, 467 nt
Filed under: uncultured bacterium
Lineage: Bacteria
Description: partial 16S ribosomal RNA
Rfam family: Bacterial small subunit ribosomal RNA
Source: RNAcentral
GAUGAACGCUGGCGGCGUGCUUAACACAUGCAAGUCGAACGGAAAGGCCCAAGCUUGCUUGGGUACUCGAGUGGCGAACGGGUGAGUAACACGUGGGUGAUCUGCCCUGCACUUCGGGAUAAGCCUGGGAAACUGGGUCUAAUACCGGAUAGGACGAUGGUUUGGAUGCCAUUGUGGAAAGUUUUUUCGGUGUGGGAUGAGCUCGCGGCCUAUCAGCUUGUUGGUGGGGUAAUGGCCUACCAAGGCGUCGACGGGUAGCCGGCCUGAGAGGGUGUACGGCCACAUUGGGACUGAGAGACGGCCCAGACUCCUACGGGAGGCAGCAGGGGGGAAUAUUGCACAAUGGGCGCAAGCCUGAUGCAGCGACGCCGCGUGGGGGAGGACGGCCUUCGGGUUGUAAACUCCUUUCGCUAGGGACGAAGCGUUUUUGUGACGGUACCUGGAGAAGAAGCACCGGCUAACUACGG